Molecule: transfer RNA, 73 nt
Filed under: Alligator mississippiensis (American alligator)
Lineage: Eukaryota; Metazoa; Chordata; Crocodylia; Alligatoridae
Rfam family: tRNA
About the family: Transfer RNA (tRNA) molecules are approximately 80 nucleotides in length. Their secondary structure includes four short double-helical elements and three loops (D, anti-codon, and T loops).
Source: Rfam by way of RNAcentral
GAGCAUGUGGCCUAACGGAUAAGGCGUCUGACUUUGGAUCAGAAGACUGAGGGUUUAAGUCCCUCUCUGGUUG